RNAcentral lists this ribosomal RNA (373 nucleotides) under uncultured bacterium. RNAcentral's name for it is "bacterial SSU rRNA". It matches the Rfam family "Bacterial small subunit ribosomal RNA", at positions 525 to 896 of the family's 1533-position model. The record is from RNAcentral.
ACGUAGGGGGCUAGCGUUGUCCGGAAUCAUUGGGCGUAAAGAGCGUGUAGGCGGCUUGGUAAGUCCGCUGUGAAAGUCCAGGGCUCAACCCUGGAAUGCCAGUGGAAACUGUCAAGCUAGAGUCCGGAAGAGGCGAGUGGAACUCCUGGUGUAGCGGUGAAAUGCGCAGAUAUCAGGAAGAACACCAAUGGCGAAGGCAGCUCGCUGGGACGGUACUGACGCUGAGACGCGAAAGCGUGGGGAGCAAACAGGAUUAGAUACCCUGGUAGUCCACGCCGUAAACGAUGGGCACUAGGUGUGGGGGGUGUCGACUCCCCCCGUGCCGACGCUAACGCAUUAAGUGCCCCGCCUGGGGAGUACGGCCGCAAGGCUA